CAGCCGCCACGGUAAUACGUAGGGUGCAAGCGUUGUCCGGAAUUAUUGGGCGUAAAGAGCUCGUAGGCGGUUUGUCGCGUCUGCUGUGAAAUCCCGAGGCUCAACCUCGGGCUUGCAGUGGGUACGGGCAGACUAGAGUGCGGUAGGGGAGAUUGGAAUUCCUGGUGUAGCGGUGGAAUGCGCAGAUAUCAGGAGGAACACCGAUGGCGAAGGCAGAUCUCUGGGCCGUAACUGACGCUGAGGAGCGAAAGCGUGGGGAGCGAACAGGAUUAGAUACCCGGGUAGUCUCUGUCUCUUAUAC
Molecule: ribosomal RNA, 301 nt
Filed under: uncultured bacterium
Lineage: Bacteria
Description: partial 16S ribosomal RNA
Rfam family: Bacterial small subunit ribosomal RNA
Source: RNAcentral